This 618-nucleotide ribosomal RNA is filed under the name Holtermanniella wattica. RNAcentral describes it as "LSU rRNA". It matches the Rfam family "Eukaryotic large subunit ribosomal RNA", at positions 50 to 655 of the family's 3401-position model. Lineage: Eukaryota; Fungi; Basidiomycota; Tremellomycetes; Holtermanniales. The record is from RNAcentral.
GCGGAGGAAAAGAAACUAACAAGGAUUCCCCUAGUAACGGCGAGUGAAGCGGGAUGAGCUCAAAUUUGUAAUCUGGUGGACUCAGUUCAUCCGAGUUGUAAUCUAUAGAAGUGUUUUCCGCGCUGGACCGUGUCUAAGUCCCUUGGAACAGGGUGUCAGAGAGGGUGAGAAUCCCGUGCUUGAUACGAUCACCAGUGCUAUGUGAUACACUUUCAACGAGUCGAGUUGUUUGGGAAUGCAGCUCAAAAUGGGUGGUAAAUUCCAUCUAAAGCUAAAUAUUGGCGAGAGACCGAUAGCGAACAAGUACCGUGAGGGAAAGAUGAAAAGCACUUUGGAAAGAGAGUUAAACAGUACGUGAAAUUGUUAAAAGGGAAACGAUUGAAGUCAGUCGUGCUCUCUGGGACUCAGCCGGUUCUUCCGGUGUACUUCCCAGUGAGCGGGUCAACAUCAGUUUAGAUCGCUGGAUAAAGGUAUUAGGAAGGUGGCUCCCUCGGGAGUGUUAUAGCCUAGUAUCGUAUACAGUGGUUUAGACUGAGGAACGCAGCUCGCCUUUAUGGCCGGGGUUCGCCCACGUCCGAGCUUAGGAUGUUGACAUAAUGGCUUUAAACGACCCGUCUU